This 482-nucleotide ribosomal RNA is filed under the name uncultured bacterium. RNAcentral describes it as "partial 16S ribosomal RNA". It matches the Rfam family "Bacterial small subunit ribosomal RNA", at positions 30 to 507 of the family's 1533-position model. The record is from RNAcentral.
AUUGAACGCUGGCGGCAUGCCUUACACAUGCAAGUCGAACGGUAACGGGCCUUCGGGUGCCGACGCGUGGCGAACGGGUGAGUAAUACAUCGGAACGUGCCCGAUCGUGGGGGAUAACGAGGCGAAAGCUUUGCUAAUACCGCAUACGAUCUACGGAUGAAAGCAGGGGACCACAAGGCCUUGCGCGGACGGAGCGGCCGAUGGCAGAUUAGGUAGUUGGUGGGAUAAAAGCUUACCAAGCCGACGAUCUGUAGCUGGUCUGAGAGGAGGAUCAGCCACACUGGGACUGAGACACGGCCCAGACUCCUACGGGAGGCAGCAGUGGGGAAUUUUGGACAAUGGGCGCAAGCCUGAUCCAGCCAGGCCGCGUGCAGGAUGAAGGCCUUCGGGUUGUAAACUGCUUUUGUACGGAACGAAAAGCCUUCUUUUAAUACAGGAGGGUCAUGACGGUACCGGAAGAAUAAGCACCGGCUAACUACGUG